RNAcentral lists this long non-coding RNA (210 nucleotides) under Elaeis guineensis (African oil palm). RNAcentral's name for it is "long non-coding RNA (EGUI_LNC014884)". The record is from RNAcentral. Lineage: Eukaryota; Viridiplantae; Streptophyta; Magnoliopsida; Arecales; Arecaceae.
UUAGACUAGACUUUUGACUUGAGCAUUGGAGGAUCUCUAUCGGAUCAACCUUCGGCAAGGACUUUUCUUGCAAAUCUCGCCCCUGGCGGCAUGGCUCGCCAUCAGCUCCAGCCGCUCGAACGUCAGAUGAAAAUCAGCACCAACAGGUAUGAUAAAAAAAUCAUAAUAUUCAGUAAUAUAUAAAGGCAGGUCAAUUAUGUAUUUACUUGG